Molecule: ribosomal RNA, 465 nt
Filed under: uncultured bacterium
Lineage: Bacteria
Description: partial 16S ribosomal RNA
Rfam family: Bacterial small subunit ribosomal RNA
Source: RNAcentral
GACGAACGCUGGCGGCGUGCUUAACACGUGCAAGUCGAACGGAAAGGCCCUGCUUGCAGGGUACUCGAGUGGCGAACGGGUGAGUAACACGUGGGUGAUCUGCCCUGCACUUCGGGAUAAGCCUGGGAAACUGGGUCUAAUACCGGAUAGGAGCCAUUUUUAGUGUGAUGGUUGGAAAGUUUUUUCGGUGUAGGAUGAGCUCGCGGCCUAUCAGCUUGUUGGUGGGGUAAUGGCCUACCAAGGCGGCGACGGGUAGCCGGCCUGAGAGGGUGGACGGCCACAUUGGGACUGAGAUACGGCCCAGACUCCUACGGGAGGCAGCAGUGGGGAAUAUUGCACAAUGGGCGCAAGCCUGAUGCAGCGACGCCGCGGGGGGGAUGACGGCCUUCGGGUUGGAAACUCCUUUCGCUAGGGACGAAGCUUUUUGCGACGGUACCUAGAUAAGAAGCACCGGCUAACUACGUG